CAAUAGCGUAUAUUAAAGUUGUUGCGGUUAAAAAGCUCGUAGUUGGAUUUCUGCCGAGGACGACCGGUCCGCCCUCUGGGUGAGUAUCUGGCUCGGCCUGGGCAUCUUCUUGGAGAACGUAGCUGCACUUGACUGUGUGGUGCGGUAUCCAGGACUUUACUUGAGGAAAUUAGAGUGUUUCAAGCAGGCAUACGCCUUGAAUACAUUAGCAUGGAAUAAUAAGAUAGGACCUCGGUUCUAUUUUGUUGGUUUUCGGAACUUGAGGUAAUGAUUAAGAGGGACAGACGGGGGCAUUCGUAUUACGGUGUUAGAGGUGAAAUUCUUGGAUCGCCGUAAGACGAACUACUGCGAAAGCAUUUGCCAAGAAUGUUUUCAUUAAUCAAGAUCGAAAGUCAGAGGUUCGAAGACGAUUAGAU
Molecule: ribosomal RNA, 416 nt
Filed under: uncultured eukaryote
Lineage: Eukaryota
Description: bacterial SSU rRNA
Rfam family: Eukaryotic small subunit ribosomal RNA
Source: RNAcentral